UGGGGAAUAUUGCACAAUGGGCGCAAGCCUGAUGCAGCCAUGCCGCGUGUGUGAAGAAGGCCUUCGGGUUGUAAAGCACUUUCAGCGAGGAGGAAGGUGGUGAGCUUAAUACGCUCAUCAAUUGACGUUACUCGCAGAAGAAGCACCGGCUAACUCCGUGCCAGCAGCCGCGGUAAUACGGAGGGUGCAAGCGUUAAUCGGAAUUACUGGGCGUAAAGCGCACGCAGGCGGUUUGUUAAGUCAGAUGUGAAAUCCCCGGGCUCAACCUGGGAACUGCAUUUGAAACUGGCAAGCUAGAGUCUCGUAGAGGGGGGUAGAAUUCCAGGUGUAGCGGUGAAAUGCGUAGAGAUCUGGAGGAAUACCGGUGGCGAAGGCGGCCCCCCUGGACGAAGACUGACGCUCAGGUGCGAAAGCGUGGGGCAGCAAACAGGAUUAGAUACCCUGGUAGUCCACGCUGUAAACGAUGUCGAUUUGGAGGUUGUGCCCCUUGAGGCGUGGCUUCCGGAGCUAACGCGUUAAAUCGACCGCCUGGGGGAGUACGGCCGCAAGGUUAAAACUCAAAUGAAUUG
RNAcentral lists this ribosomal RNA (569 nucleotides) under uncultured bacterium. Its description in RNAcentral is "partial 16S ribosomal RNA". It matches the Rfam family "Bacterial small subunit ribosomal RNA", at positions 355 to 912 of the family's 1533-position model. The record is from RNAcentral.